RNAcentral lists this ribosomal RNA (154 nucleotides) under Clytia hemisphaerica. RNAcentral describes it as "5.8S ribosomal RNA". It matches the Rfam family "5.8S ribosomal RNA". From Rfam's summary of the family: 5.8S ribosomal RNA (5.8S rRNA) is a component of the large subunit of the eukaryotic ribosome. It is transcribed by RNA polymerase I as part of the 45S precursor that also contains 18S and 28S rRNA. The record is from RNAcentral. Lineage: Eukaryota; Metazoa; Cnidaria; Hydrozoa; Leptothecata; Clytiidae.
AACUUCUAACGGUGGAUCUCUUGGCUCGUGCAUCGAUGAAGAACGUUGCCAGUUGCGAUAAGUAGUGUGAAUUGCAGAAUGAAGUGAAUCAUCGAAUCUUUGAACGCAAAUUGCACUCUCUGGAUAUCCGGAGAGUACGUCUGUCUGAGCGUCG